CAAGUCAGAUGUGAAAGCCUUCUGUUCAACGGAAGAAUUGCAUCUGAAACUGCUAAUCUUGAGUAUAGGAGGGGAGAAUGGAACUUCUGGUGGAGCGGUGAAAUGCGUAGAUAUCAGAAGGAACGCCGGCGGCGAGAGCGAUUCUCUGGCCUAUUACUGACACUCAGUGUGCGAAAGCUAGGGGAGCAAACGGGAUUAGAUACCCCGGUAGUCCUAGCCGUAAACGAUGGGCACUAAGUAGAGGGAAUUACCUAUAUUCUCUCUGCCGUAGCUAACGCAUUAAGUGCCCCGCCUGGGGAGUACGGCCGCAAGGCUAAAACUCAAAAGAAUUGACGGGGGCUCGCACAAGCGGUGGAGCAUGUGGCUUAAUUCGAUGCAACGCGAAAAACCUUACCGGGGCUUGACAUGAUAGAAGUAGGAACCUGAAAGGGGGACGAACGGUAUCCAGUCCGUAGCUAUUACAGGUGUUGCAUGGCUGUCGUCAGCUCGUGUCGUGAGACGUUGGGUUAAGUCCCCUAACGAGCGAAACCCUUGUUUUUAGUUACCAGCGGGUUAUGCCGGGUACUCUAGAAAGACUGCCGUCGUCAAGACGGAGGAAGGUGGGGGAUGACGUCAAGUCAUCAUGGCCCUUAUGCCCCGGGCUGCACACGUGCUACAAUGGUCGGUACAGACGGAAGCGAAG
RNAcentral lists this ribosomal RNA (682 nucleotides) under uncultured bacterium. RNAcentral describes it as "bacterial SSU rRNA". It matches the Rfam family "Bacterial small subunit ribosomal RNA", at positions 584 to 1254 of the family's 1533-position model. The record is from RNAcentral.